GCCUGGGUGGCUCAGUGGUUGAGCAUCUGACUUUGGCUCAGGUCAUGGUCCCAGGGUCCUGGGAUCGAGUCCCACAUCGGGCU
Molecule: transfer RNA, 83 nt
Filed under: Canis lupus familiaris (dog)
Lineage: Eukaryota; Metazoa; Chordata; Mammalia; Carnivora; Canidae
Also listed under: 2 other names
Rfam family: tRNA
About the family: Transfer RNA (tRNA) molecules are approximately 80 nucleotides in length. Their secondary structure includes four short double-helical elements and three loops (D, anti-codon, and T loops).
Source: Rfam by way of RNAcentral